UAGGGAAUAUUGGGCAAUGGAGGCAACUCUGACCCAGCCAUGCCGCGUGGAGGAUGAAGGCGCUCAGCGUCGUAAACUCCUUUUAUCUGGGAAGAACUGUAGUCCUGCGGGAUUAUUUGACGGUACCAGAGGAAUAAGCACCGGCUAACUCCGUGCCAGCAGCCGCGGUAAUACGGAGGGUGCAAGCGUUGUCCGGAUUUAUUGGGUUUAAAGGGUGCGUAGGUGGCGUCUUAAGUCUGGUUUGAAAGCAGGCGGCUCAACCGUCUGAUGUGGCUGGAAACUGGGGUGCUUGAAUGCGUUGGCGGUAGCCGGAACGGGUCAUGUAGCGGUGAAAUGCAUAGAUAUGACCCAGAACACCGAUUGCGAAGGCAGGCUACUACGACGUGAUUGACACUGAGGCACGAGAGCAUGGGUAGCGAACAG
Molecule: ribosomal RNA, 423 nt
Filed under: uncultured bacterium
Lineage: Bacteria
Description: bacterial SSU rRNA
Rfam family: Bacterial small subunit ribosomal RNA
Source: RNAcentral